UCGCCUCCUCGCCCUACUGUCCCAUCUACCCUAGCCUUUCAACUCCGAUCUUUUGUCCGUGUGGAGCUGGUGGCAGGCGUACGGCCAAGGAGACGAAGCAACGGCGGCGUGCCACCGCCACCUCCGAUGCACAGCAGACACGGCACCACCGGCACAAGAUUCGCUUGGGGAGCACAGCCGUCGAGCAAGAGAGGCCCACCGGCCAUGGCUGACCGGACAGAUUAGAGGCGAGGUGGAUUCUGCCGGCAAGGCCCUCUUCCUUUUCUCAUGUUCUGCGUGAUCUGAGGCGGGAGGCGCUGAAUCCUUCCCGAUUGGCCUUCUUCCUCCUCGAUUUGGCCCUUCUUUCCGGCCUCCGCUCAUCUCCGGCCCGUUAUCGUUCGGUUCCCGUGACCCGUCCACCCAUGGAAGACCGCGGCCCCGCAUCCUCUGAACGUCGCAGUUCUUCUCCAUGAAGACUGUGCCCUUCAUAGUCCGACGGGGCUUCGUGCUCUUCCUGCACGAGGAAAAUAGCAUAUGGUGUCGUCCAUGGCGUCGUCGCUAACUCUAGCACGUCAGAGAUGACGGGCCACCUGACAACGAGCUCAAUUGCUCUGAACUUCAGCCUGCAUUGCUUGGACCUUUUUAUUCAGAUGUCCAAUUCUUAUUUUCUGAUGUGUUGUGUGAAGGUUUAUGGCGAGGAGAGGAGAAGUGGUCGUUCGGGUUCUGCGAGAAUGGCAUGUGUGCAGGUUCAUGUACACUAUUGUUUGAUAAAUUGGUGGCAAAUAGCUGUGUGAGCUUCAUUUGGUCAGGUUGUUUCGACUGCAUGAUGCAUGAGACAUGGAUUCCUAAGGAUUGUUCAAGUGCAUUCAGUGUUAACGGAUGGAACACAGAUUAGCCUUGGCCACAAUGAGCAGAAGGAGUACAAUAUGGGUGACUGCAGGUACGUCCCCAGGGACACCGCUACGUCACUGUUGAAGGAAUCACAGUUGUGCUGGAAGGUCCUGCCUUCCUGCUUGUUGUGUCUGCCUUCUCAUCUUAUUUUAUGAUCGUUUAUGUGAAGAAGCAGCAGCAACUUGAUUUGUUUUCUUGCGUAGUAAUAUGUGAGCUGCAUUUGCAGACAUAUAUGGGUCAAGUCACUCUUUGUUAGUUAGAUGUUGUUAGUGUUUUUCUAUCAGACAUGGUUCUGCAAUGGGGUUGACUGCCUAAGGCUCACUCAGAUUUUGGACUUGCUUAAUAACUGCUUCCUUUCAUUAAGAUGUGAGGUCCUGAUCCCAAUGACAGAGCAUCAUCGCCCUCUGAACUAAUGUUCAUGCGAGUUCAUUGUUUGAUUUUGUUGAACCAUGCAAGUUCAAAAUUUGAUGAAGCCAUGCAACUGGUAGAUGCAUCAACAAAGCAUAUAUUUGCAGUGUUCCGAAGUACCGUGUUCCUUCUUUACUCAAUAAAAUUUAGUGUUGUAUUUGCCUGGUAUAAGAAAGAUAGCGCAAUGCCGACAGAUAGAGCUUUAUUUGCCGGGUAUUAAUUUACACAUAGCAGGCUGAGGAGAACACAGAUGCACGGCCAGCUGCGCGGAUUAGCCGAUGGAACCAAUAACAGGGGAAAGGACGGAAAAUAGGAAGGAGA
Molecule: long non-coding RNA, 1599 nt
Organism: Triticum dicoccoides
Lineage: Eukaryota; Viridiplantae; Streptophyta; Magnoliopsida; Poales; Poaceae
Exons: 4
Source: RefSeq, a predicted model, not a curated record